RNAcentral lists this ribosomal RNA (447 nucleotides) under uncultured bacterium. RNAcentral's name for it is "bacterial SSU rRNA". It matches the Rfam family "Bacterial small subunit ribosomal RNA", at positions 328 to 792 of the family's 1533-position model. The record is from RNAcentral.
AGUCCAGACUCCUACGGGAGGCAGCAGUGGGGGAUAUUGCACAAUGGGGGGAACCCUGAUGCAGCGACGCCGCGUGGGUGAAGAAGCGCCUCGGCGCGUAAAGCCCUGUCAGCAGGGAAGAAAAUGACGGUACCUGAAGAAGAAGCCCCGGCUAACUACGUGCCAGCAGCCGCGGUAAUACGUAGGUGGCAAGCGUUGUCCGGAUUUACUGGGUGUAAAGGGCGUGUAGCCGGGCUGACAAGUCAGAUGUGAAAUCCGGGGGCUCAACCCCCGAACUGCAUUUGAAACUGUUGGUCUUGAGUAUCGGAGAGGCAGGCGGAAUUCCUAGUGUAGCGGUGAAAUGCGUAGAUAUCAGGAGGAACACCGGCGGCGAAGGCGGCCUGCUGGACCGUGACUGACGUUGAGGCUCGAGAGCGUGGGGAGCAAACAGGAUUAGAUACCCCCGUA